Long non-coding RNA from Esox lucius (northern pike), 1404 nucleotides. Lineage: Eukaryota; Metazoa; Chordata; Actinopteri; Esociformes; Esocidae. The record is from Ensembl.
CUCUUCUUUUCAGAAAGAUAUCAGGCAAAAAAUUAUAAGAAACUAAACAGGAUUAAAAUAAAUUAACAUAUAAAUAAAAAAAAGAAAAAGAAACCACAAAGUCCCAAAGUGCACUGGGAUUGACAAGUGAUGGCUUUGCGAUGGCUAAAAGACAGCAGUGGCCACGCUUGCUUGCUUACUGAUUGGUCCUCUCUCCUGUGUGGAUCCUACACUCUAUUAUUGGUGGGCACACCGGUAGCUCCUCCCCCUGUCUCUAUACAAUGAAUCUAGUAAUGUCUGGUAAGGUCUGGCGGCCCCUUGUCUGGACGUGGUGGUGAAAAAGUGUUAAUAAGAUAUGAUCGUCUUUUUUUAUUAUUAUUAUUGUGCGUGCAUUCCAACAUCCGCAUGUACACGUUGCGUUCGGUAGACAUCAUAACGACAGGUGGAGAAGAAAUAAAAACACAUUCAACCAAAGGGUCGUCGUCCCCUAUACUGGAAUGUAGAGAUCAUAAAAACCAAGCAUUCAAGGGGUUAAUAACAGGGACAUUGUUUCUUUGUUUUUUUUGUCUGUCUCCGUGGUACCGUCUCGCCUCCUUCAGCGUAGUAGUCAGAGAGUUGGCGAAGAAGUCUCUUUGGUACUAGUAAAACCUAUGAGCUGUGUACAUCUAUCUACUUCCUCCACUGUAUAAUAAUGGUGAUAGUAAUUAGGCCCUCCGAGCACAGACCUGUGGAAGGAUUAAGAAUUCUGGUCAGAUGUGUACUCCUCUCAAUGUGCGUGUCCCAAAUGGCACCCUAUUCCCCAAAUAGUGUGCAACUCUUUCACCAGAGGCCAAUGGGCCCAUGGAAAAAGCAACGCACUGAAAUAGGGAGUGGGGCGUGAUUUGGGAGUUGGGCGGAGCAGAUUCUGGUCAGAUGUGGACAACCGUCAGACGGAGCGACGUUUCCCCAAUACACUCUGGAGGAUAAAAGAGAGCUUCCUCAGAAGAUACGUGAUGGCCUCACAAAGAGGACAGGGAUUCAGGUGAAGACGAAGCAUCACCCGGCUUCAUGUGUUGUCCCCCCAUUCAGCCGGAGGAUGCUGAAGCCAGCCCCACGGCGUGAGCGGCAGCUCCCUGUUCUGUUCCUGAAUCAGGUGGUUUCCCUCUCAGCAAGCAGGCAGACAGGCAGGGAGGUGAGACAGACGGUGUUGUGUAUUCUUUCUCUCUUCACUCUCCGUCUCAUUCACUCUCCUGCGGUGUCUUUAAGGGGGGCUCUUGCUGGCAAUUAACCAGCGCAUCUGAAAGAUAUAGGACAAAUGUUAUUGUCUCUCUGCAAGCCAUUUCUACUAAUGACUGGUCAUGCAAAAACACAUUAGCUGAAUUCCCUGAUUUUCCUGAAAUCUUGUAUGGAAAUUCCACAGGUGUUGACAACUAUACACACUGGAUC